AAUUUGGACUGUCACGUAGGA
This 21-nucleotide microRNA is filed under the name Gossypium raimondii (Peruvian cotton). RNAcentral's name for it is "gra-miR8678". Lineage: Eukaryota; Viridiplantae; Streptophyta; Magnoliopsida; Malvales; Malvaceae. The record is from miRBase by way of RNAcentral.